GAUGAACGCUGGCGGCGUGCCUAAUACAUGCAAGUCGAGCGAACGGACGAGAAGCUUGCUUCUCUGAUGUUAGCGGCGGACGGGUGAGUAACACGUGGAUAACCUACCUAUAAGACUGGGAUAACUUCGGGAAACCGGAGCUAAUACCGAAUAAUAUUUUGAACCGCAUGGUUCAAAAGUGAAAGACGGUCUUGCUGUCACUUAUAGAUGGAUCCGCGCUGCAUUAGCUAGUUGGUAAGGUAACGGCUUACCAAGGCAACGAUGCAUAGCCGACCUGAGAGGGUCAUUGGCUACACUGGAACUGAGAAACGGUACAGACUCCUACGGGAGGCCGCAGUAGGGAAUCCUACGCGAUGGGCGAAAGCCUGACGGAGCAACGCCGCGUGAGUGAUGAAGGUCUUCGGAUCGUAAAACUCUGUUAUUAGGGAAGAACAUAUGUGUAAGUAACUGUGAACAUCUUGACGGUACCUAAUCAGAAAGCCACGGCUAACUCCGUG
Molecule: ribosomal RNA, 497 nt
Filed under: uncultured bacterium
Lineage: Bacteria
Description: partial 16S ribosomal RNA
Rfam family: Bacterial small subunit ribosomal RNA
Source: RNAcentral